Molecule: ribosomal RNA, 497 nt
Filed under: uncultured bacterium
Lineage: Bacteria
Description: partial 16S ribosomal RNA
Rfam family: Bacterial small subunit ribosomal RNA
Source: RNAcentral
GAUGAACGCUGGCGGCGUGCCUAAUACAUGCAAGUCGAGCGAACAGACGAGGAGCUUGCUCCUCUGACGUUAGCGGCGCACGGGUGAGUCACACGUGGAUAACCUCCCUAUAAGACUGGGAUAACUUCGGGAAACCGGAGCUAAUACCGGAUAAUAUAUUGAACCGCAUGGUUCAAUAGUGAAAGACGGUUUUGCUGUCACUUAUAGAUGGAUCCGCGCCGCAUUAGCUAGUUGGUAAGGUAACGGCUUACCAAGGCAACGAUGCGUAUCCGACCUGAGAGGGGGAUCGGCCACACUGGAACUGAAACACGGACCAGACUCCUACGGGAGGCAGCAGUAGGGAAUCGUCCGCAAUGGGCGAAAGCUUGACGGAGCAACGCCGCGUGAGUGAUGAAGGUCUUCGGAUCGUAAAACUCUGUUAUUAGGGAAGAACAAAUGUGUAAGUAACUAUGCACGUCUUGACGGUAACUAAUCAGAAAGCCACGGCUAACUACGUG